UCUUUACUGAACAUGUACGUGCCUAGGAAGUCUCAGGAAUGGGUAAGUGCUCCUGCUCCCACACAGUCUACAGACCUGGGUGCAAUGGUGAGAAAGACCUCAGUAAAGCAAAGGAAUUACGAAAGGGAGAGGAUAGAAGAUAAAGUACAUAAUAGUUUCCUGAAGCAGCAGAAUGAAAGAACUCUCUGUGGCAUGAAAAUUUACUGGAGGCAGCAGCUGAGGCUGUGGUGGGAGAAGAAUGACAAGAACUGAGCGUGGGCCACGGGCUCUUACCUUCAGCAACUUCAUCAGCUCUUCCAGCUGGACCAUCAGCUCCCGCCUGCUCUCCUGCAGGGCCGACAUCCUCUGCUCCAGUUCAUCCUUCCUUUGCCUAUCCAAGACGAGAAGCCUAUCAGAUAAAGAGACCCUCAAAGAUGGAUCUAAGGCCAGGUGAAAUGGAUUUCAGACCUGAUCCUGCUACUUACCAGUUAUGAGACGCUGAGCAAGUCAUUUAGCAUCCAAUACCUCAUAAAAUGGUGAUAAUGUCUGUUUUGCCUACUUCCUGGACUGUUCUGAGAAUAAUAGGUAAAAGUGCUUUGGAAAGUUUAGAUGACUAUAUAAAGGUAUUACUUAUAUUACCAGAGUGAAUUAAUGAUUAAAAAACUCUUUAGAAAAUCAAUGCCUUUUGAAAAAUAUAUAAAAUUAGCCCAAAUUUAGAUUAAUAGUAAAGAAACCAUAUUAAACUGCUCAGAGAAAACAGGGUCCAGUAGUAAGUACUUUCAGCACUAGACAGAUUCAAGAAGGAUGACAGAUCAGGACGGCUCCCUGUGUUCAAGAACAGUCACUUUUCCUUGAGGAUAGAUUUUAUGCCAUCUACUCCAGCUCAAUAUGUCCAAAACCAGACUUAAGACUUUAUUCCCUAAAUGGUUUUCUUGUCUCUGUCUCUUUUUUUUUCCUUGUCUCUGUCUCUUUUCCCUGUCUCUGCUAUUUUUCCUUCCAGGUGUCAUGGUUGAAAAACUCAGUCCUCUUUGUUACUUUCUUCUUUAUAUCCUGUAUUCAAUCAAUAACUCAAUUCAGAUCAUUCUUUCUUGGAAAAUGUAUGUGCCUAUCUUUCUAUUCCCAUUUCUCUCACUUUAUCUAAGCACUCCUUACCUCAAGCAUGAAACAGUCUCCUUAUGUGAUUAAUCCUGCUUUCUUUUUUUUUUUUUUUGUGACGGAGUCUCACUCUGUCGCCCAGGCUGGAGUGCAGUGGUGCCAUCUUGUCUCAACUGCAACCUCCGCUUCCCCAGUUCAAGUGAUUCUCCUGCCUCAGCCUCCUAAAUAGCUGGGAUUACAGGCAUCGCCACCAUGCCCAGUUAAUUUUUGUAUUUUUAGUAGAGAUGGAGUUUCACCAUGUUGGCCAGGCUGGUCUCGAACUCCUGACCUCAAGUGAUCCACCUGCCUCAGCCUCCCAAAGUGCUGGGAUUACAGUCGUGAGCCACCGCACCUGGCUCUUUCAUCUUUUAUGGUGAGGAAAAAGCAGUGAAAUAGAAGUCAAUGGCCUCAAAGUUGAGUAUCAGCACCAGUAUUUACCAAAUAUGCAACCUUAGACAAGUCACUUAGCCUCAGUUUUCUCUCUUCUAAAAGGGGACUAGUAACAGCAACAAUAUUCUGAGGAUCAUAUAAGGUAAUAAAUAUGAGAGUGUUCUACGAACUUUAAACUGCCGCUCAAAACAAAGCUAUGUUCAUUUCAUCAUCCCAUAAUGAUCUCAACAGACUUUCUAGCAUCACUGACCCUUGCCUGUGCAAUCGAGACCUACGCUGUCUAUCACAGCAGCCGCUAGCCACGCGUGACUACCGAGCCCCUGAAACAGGGCUAGGCUGAACUGAGAUGCACGGCAAUUGUAACAUACACACUGGAAUUCAAAGACUUAGUGCAGGAAACAGCAAAGUAUCUGGAUCAUGUUUUAAUACUGAUUACAUGUUGAAAGGACAAUAUUUUGAAAAUAUCAGGUUAAGUAAGAUAUACUAUUAAAAUUAAUGACGCCUAUU
Molecule: long non-coding RNA, 2010 nt
Filed under: Homo sapiens (human)
Lineage: Eukaryota; Metazoa; Chordata; Mammalia; Primates; Hominidae
Description: HSALNT0301212
Source: RNAcentral